GAGGGUGUAGCUCAGUGGUAGAGUGCGUGCUUAGCAUGCACGAGGUCCUGGGUUCAAUCCCUAGCCCCUCU
This 71-nucleotide transfer RNA is filed under the name Camelus ferus (Wild Bactrian camel). It matches the Rfam family "tRNA". From Rfam's summary of the family: Transfer RNA (tRNA) molecules are approximately 80 nucleotides in length. Their secondary structure includes four short double-helical elements and three loops (D, anti-codon, and T loops). The record is from Rfam by way of RNAcentral. Lineage: Eukaryota; Metazoa; Chordata; Mammalia; Artiodactyla; Camelidae.